UUUUUUUUUUUUGUUGCAAAAAAUAAAAUUUUAAAACAAUAAAUUUAUAGCUAGGACUGAACACUGCAGUUUAGCAAGAAAUCACAAUGAUCCAUUUAUUGUUCAUUUCACUAGUUGACUUUUGCAUCAAUUUAAACAAAUAAAAUUUGAAGCGUCCCCACGAGGACUACUACUAACAUAAAUUUUAAACACACGCUGAGUUGGCUAAAUAUUAUUCGCACUUGACCAUAGACACAUGUAGGCCAAGUGAAGUGGAUGCAAACCUUACCCCUAACUUAGAGGUAGAAUGUCUAUUUUUGGUACACCCUCAAUUCAAGACAAAUAAUCCAAAUCAAUCCGAAAGUAGAGGAAGCAAUAGAUAGUAACAUAAUAGUAUUACAACAAAACAAUACGAUUGUAGAAGUACAAGAAACAAUAGAUAGUAAUAGGAAUCGAAGAACAAUAUGUUUCCCAUAUUUUGAGUUUGAACCUCUCACCUACUUGUCCAUACAAUAAGAAUGAGAGCAAAUAUUAUCCAAGGUUCCUCCACCAUCUAUUCUUG
Molecule: long non-coding RNA, 541 nt
Filed under: Solanum tuberosum (potato)
Lineage: Eukaryota; Viridiplantae; Streptophyta; Magnoliopsida; Solanales; Solanaceae
Description: long non-coding RNA (STUB_LNC004410)
Source: RNAcentral